UACGGAGGUGGCGAGCGUUGUCCGAAGUCACUGGGCGUAAAGCGCGCGUAGGCGGGCUAUUAAGUGAGAGGUGAAAUGCCGAAGCUCAACUUCGGAACUGCCUCUCAUACUGGUAGUCUUGAGGGCGGUAGGGAAAAGUGGAAUGGCUGGUGUAGCGGUGAAAUGCAUAGAUAUCAGUCGGAACACCGGUGGCGAAGGCGGCUUUUUGGGCCGUUCCUGACGCUGAGGCGCGAAAGCCAGGGGAGCGAACGGG
Molecule: ribosomal RNA, 253 nt
Filed under: uncultured bacterium
Lineage: Bacteria
Description: partial 16S ribosomal RNA
Rfam family: Bacterial small subunit ribosomal RNA
Source: RNAcentral